GACGAACGCUGGCGGCGUGCUUAACACAUGCAAGUCGAACGGGUCUGCCCUGUUUUUUGCGGGGUGGGUCAGUGGCGAACGGGUGAGUAACACGUGAGUAACCUGCCCCUCACUUCUGGAUAACCGCUUGAAAGGGUGGCUAAUACGGGGUGUUCUGGCUGUGCCGCAUGGUGUGGCUGGGAAAGAUUCACUUUUGUGGUGUUUUGGUGGGGGAUGGGCUCGCGGCCUAUCAGCUUGUUGGUGGGGUGAUGGCCUGCCAAGGCUUUGACGGGUAGCCGGCCUGAGAGGGUGGGCGGUCACACUGGGCCUGAGAUACGGCCCAGACUCCUGCGGGAGGCAGCAGUGGGGGGUAUUGCACAAUGGGCGGAAGCCUGAUGCAGCGACGUCGCGUGAGGGAUGGAGGCCUUCGGGUUGUGAACCUCUUUCGCCGGUGAAGAAGGUCCUGCUCUUUGUGGUGGGGUUGACGGUAGCCGGGUUAUGAAGCGCCGGCUAACUACGUG
Molecule: ribosomal RNA, 500 nt
Filed under: uncultured bacterium
Lineage: Bacteria
Description: partial 16S ribosomal RNA
Rfam family: Bacterial small subunit ribosomal RNA
Source: RNAcentral